This 468-nucleotide ribosomal RNA is filed under the name uncultured bacterium. Its description in RNAcentral is "partial 16S ribosomal RNA". It matches the Rfam family "Bacterial small subunit ribosomal RNA", at positions 28 to 507 of the family's 1533-position model. The record is from RNAcentral.
GAUGAACGCUGGCGGCGUGCUUAACACAUGCAAGUCGAACGGAAAGGCCCUGCUCUUGUGGGGUGCUCGAGUGGCGAACGGGUGAGUAUCACGUGAGUAACCUGCCCUUGACUUUGGGAUAUCUCUAGGAAACUGGGGCUAAUACCGGAUAGGAGCUCCUGCUGCAUGGUGGGGGUUGGAAAGUGUCGGCGGUUGGGGAUGGUCUCGCGGCUUAUCAGCCUGUUGGUGGGGUAGUGGCCUCCCACGGCUUUGACGGGUAGCCGGCCUGAGAGGGUGACCGGCCACAAUAGGACUACGGUACGGCGCAGAAUCCUACGGGAGGCAGCAGUGGGGAGUAUUGCACAGUAAGGGGAAGCCUGAUGCAGCAGCGCCGCGUGCGGGAUGACGGCCUUCGGGGUGUAAACCACUUUCGCCUGUGACGAAGAGUGAGUGACGGUAAUGGGUAAAGAAGCACCGGCUAACUACGUG